GACGAACGCUGGCGGCGUGCUUAACACAUGCAAGUCGAACGAAAAGGCCCUGCUUUUGUGGGGUGCUCUAGUUGCGAACGGGUGAGUAACACGUGAGUAACCUGUCCUUCACUUUGGGAUAUCUUCAUGCAACUUGGUGUAAUACCAGAUAGGAUCUCCUGCUUCAUGGUGGGGGUUGGAUAGUUUCGGCGGUUGGGGAUGGACUCGCGGCUUAUCAGCUUGUUGGUGGGGUAGUGGCUUACCAAGGCUUUGACGGGUAGCCGGCCUGAGAGGGUGACCGGACACAUCGGGACUGAGAUACGGCACAGCCUCCUACGGGACGCAGCAGAGGGGUAUAGUGUACAAUGGGAGGAAGGAUGAUGCAGCAAAGCAGCGUGGGGGAUGACAGCAUUCGGGUUGUAAACCGCUUUCGCUUGUGACGAAGCGUGAGUGACGGUAAUGGGUAAAGAAGCACCGGCUAACUACGUG
RNAcentral lists this ribosomal RNA (468 nucleotides) under uncultured bacterium. Its description in RNAcentral is "partial 16S ribosomal RNA". It matches the Rfam family "Bacterial small subunit ribosomal RNA", at positions 28 to 507 of the family's 1533-position model. The record is from RNAcentral.